ACUACAUGAAGCUGGAAUCGCUAGUAAUCGCGAAUCAGAAUGUCGCGGUGAAUACGUUCCCGGGUCUUGUACACACCGCCCGUCACACCAUGGGAGUCGGAAAUGCCCGAAGUCAGUGACCUAACCGAAAGGAGGGAGCUGCCGAAGGUGGAGCCGGUAACUGGGGGUGAAGUCGUAACAAGGUAAC
This 187-nucleotide ribosomal RNA is filed under the name uncultured bacterium. RNAcentral's name for it is "partial 16S ribosomal RNA". It matches the Rfam family "Bacterial small subunit ribosomal RNA", at positions 1315 to 1500 of the family's 1533-position model. The record is from RNAcentral.